This 376-nucleotide unclassified non-coding RNA is filed under the name uncultured Flavobacteriaceae bacterium. RNAcentral's name for it is "contains 16S-23S intergenic spacer region". The record is from RNAcentral. Lineage: Bacteria; Pseudomonadati; Bacteroidota; Flavobacteriia; Flavobacteriales; Flavobacteriaceae.
UCACAGUUUGCACUGGCAGUCUUGUUAGAGUUCCCGACAUUACUCGCUGGCAACUAACAACAGGGGUUGCGCUCGUUAUAGGACUUAACCUGACACCUCACGGCACGAGCUGACGACAACCAUGCAGCACCUUGUAAUCUGCCCGAAGGAGGGGGUGUUUCCACCCCUGUCAGACUACAUUUAAGCCCUGGUAAGGUUCCUCGCGUAUCAUCGAAUUAAACCACAUGCUCCACCGCUUGUGCGGGCCCCCGUCAAUUCCUUUGAGUUUCAUUCUUGCGAACGUACUCCCCAGGUGGGUUACUUAUCACUUUCGCUUAACCACUCAGCCCUUAAUCGGGCCGAACAGCUAGUAACCAUCGUUUACGGCGUAGACUAC